UUUGCAAUAAACAAAUACGCAACUGAAAAUGGAGGGAGUAGAAGAUUUCCAGAGGCCUUUAAUUCUCUCACCAUACAGCAAUGGGGGAACAAGAAGACGAAGCCGUGAUUCGAACUCAACCGAAUUCGAAUUCUGGAUGCUCCGAAACCCUUCUUUCCCUCAGCAUAAUCUUCUCUCUGCUGAUGAGCUUUUCUCCGGCGGUGUCCUUCUCCCUCUCCACCUCCGCCUCGACGACCCACCUGACAUUCAAGACCCUCGCUCAUCCAGGUCGGAUCAACUGGAGCCCGAACCCGAACCCGAUCUUUCAUCUGCUGAAUUAGCAAAUUUAUCAGCAACUAGUACAUUUACUUCAUCAAAGCGGUGGAAAGAUAUUUGUAAGAAAAGUGAUAAGAAAAACUCAAAAUCACCUAGCAAUGCUAGUAGCGGUUGUAAUUAUAAUGAUAAGAAGAAAGAGAAGAAGGGCGGUGGUGCUGGUAUUGGUUGUGGAAGUAAUGGGGUGAGUGCGGCGGAGCUAAAGAUAAAUUUAAUGCCUUUUUCGAGGAGUAGAUCCUCUGGGAACAACGGAAGUAGGCCGCGUAUGGUGGCAGGAUCUACGGCAUCGGCGACUCGAAAGGUUAGUAGCGAGCCAUGCUCUAGGUGUAACUCUGCAGGCGAGUCUAAGACGUCGAGGAAGUGGCCGAGUAGCCCUAGCCCAGUGGGGGUUCACUUGGCAAGAAACAACCCAAUUUCGCAUGUUCGCCGGGGCGGCGUGAUUGGGCGGAGCUCCGAUGCUAUGUUAAAGAGUAGUGCUGAAAAGAGUGCAUCAAAGCUACGAAAUGAUGGACACCGGAAAAUCCCCUUCGCCGAAUCCGGGGGCAGUGCUGAUGGUGGAGAGAAAGCUGGGGUGCUGAAUUUAAAUAUUCCUGUCUGUAUGGGAUACCGCCACGGCGCCACCACUUGAGUUGCAGUAGUGACGAAAAUAGUGCUGUCAGUGUUGUGGCGGAGGCCGGAGAAAGCAGUGGCCUAAGUGUUGAAGGUGGCUCCGGUAAUGCGUGGCAUGCUAGUUCAAGAUCCUUCGAAUGGUAAUGAUGUGGAUGCAAUCUUUGAUCAAGCUAGGCAGAUGGGAGCCAUACAAGGGCCCUUGUAGAAUUUUCAACCAUCUUCAGGCUCAAGUAGCAUUACUGGGACCUGAUGAUUAGUCUGGUGAAAUUGUACCAUCUGCUCCUCAACAACCUGAGUCUUUAUACACAAUAUUGUUUUCUGGAGAAAUGGUUUCACAGUUAAUGAUGGUCCUUUGGGAAGGUUGGAUGAUCCUGAAAAUGCACCAUUUCUGGAGGUAACAGGCAAUGGGCAUUGAGCUAUAGAUGUAACAUAAUAAAAAUAGAAAAUCAAUAAAUAUGGGUUUAAGAUAAUAUCUGCCUGAUAAUUCUGAUUGAAAUUCUAGAAUUGUAUUACUAGUAGCCAAUUAACUGACAUAUUAUGUACAUAGGUAAGAAUUAGAUUAUAAACCAUUAGUUUUCCAGAACACAACAUCUGUUUAAAUCUAAUUAAACUACUCUCUCCCCUUUUUUGUCCAACAUUCUCUAUCGCCUGCCUGUAUAACAUUUCUAUAGAUUACACAAAUACAGUUUCAUCAAAAUACAUCUUUAAGUUUUGAUCAUUUUUCCCUUCUUUUAUUUUGAUCAUGUGUUGAAAUCUUUAAGGAUCCAAUGCUUAGUGAUGAUAUUUAAUUGUGGAGCAUCAGAAAACCCGAGUGCCUUAAAGAGCUGGAAUCUGCUGACAGAAGAUUCUCUGUUCACGUUAAUCUUGUAAGGAAGGAUAAAUAUUUCCCCCUAAGACCAUAUAGCAUCAUAUUUGUUUCUCUUUGGAUCUUCUUUCAUUGCUUUUUUCUGAGGUUGUCUACCUUGAGUAUACUUUCAUAACCUGAACAUUUCUGAAGAGCAAAAUGUGGGGGACUUGAAAGUUUAACCCGGCUUCCAUAUUCUUUUAGAUCAAAUGUCAGUGAAAGAAAGGAAGAUUAGUUGGCGCAAAUUGAGCUAUUUAUUUUGUUGUCAACAUUAUUCACUUCUCCUUUCUGGUUUCUAGAAGAUCAACAUGCCUUUUCUUUGUUUUGAUUUCCUAAUUCUUAGCGCAGUGGUAAUGUAUGCUCUUGUGUGCACGUGCGAAUGUGAAAGAAUCAGUGAAAAGGUGAGAUCAUUUUCUUUACUUGCAUAAACCAGAGAAACGUCGUACUCCAUAUCAAGGUGUAGGUAGAACCCUUGGAAGUAGCUCUGCUAGUGAACCAGUUCCAGAAGCAGCCGUUUCUUCUUCUCUUAACACAGCUCAUUCACCUUCAAUGGGCAUGUUAGUGGACAAAUCUUCAAUUAUCACCAUAACGCAGGUCAUAUACGUUCAUUCAUUGAUGCGUCUAAGGCCUGGAGGAUCCAGGACUCAUCAAUUGCAGACGGUUGGAUUUCCUCCCGAGGUCCCCCACUGAUCCCACCCAGACCAUUGAGCAAGCAGGACUAUUGAAUUCGGUAGUUAUCCAGAAAACUCUGAUCAGCUAAGCAAUAUAUCUUUCGUUCUCGUCUGUCGUGUCUCUUCCUUGUGUCUAGACCUCAUCUGUCCUUGCUUCAUGUUUCUAAAAUCAAAAAUUAUAUG
RNA transcript from Olea europaea var. sylvestris, 2619 nucleotides. RefSeq lists it as uncharacterized. The transcript is spliced from 2 exons. Lineage: Eukaryota; Viridiplantae; Streptophyta; Magnoliopsida; Lamiales; Oleaceae. The record is from RefSeq and is a predicted model, not a curated record.